CCUACGGGGGGCUGCAGUGGGGAAUAUUGGACAAUGGGGGGAACCCUGAUCCAGCCAUGCCGCGUGUGUGAAGAAGGCCCUCGGGUUGUAAAGCACUUUCAGUGAGGAAGAACGCCUGGUGGUUAAUACCCAUCAGGAAAGACAUCACUCACAGAAGAAGCACCGGCUAACUCCGUGCCAGCAGCCGCGGUAAUACGGAGGGUGCGAGCGUUAAUCGGAAUUACUGGGCGUAAAGCGCGCGUAGGUGGCUUGAUAAGCCGGUUGUGAAAGCCCCGGGCUCAACCUGGGAACGGCAUCCGGAACUGUCAAGCUAGAGGGCAGGAGAGGACGGUAGAAUUCCCGGUGUAGCGGUGAAAUGCGUAGAGAUCGGGAGGAAUACCAGUGGCGAAGGCGGCCUUCUGGACUGACACUGACACUGAGGUGCGAAAGCGUGGGUAGCAAACAGGAUUAGAUACCCGUGUAGUC
RNAcentral lists this ribosomal RNA (465 nucleotides) under Vreelandella stevensii. RNAcentral describes it as "partial 16S ribosomal RNA". It matches the Rfam family "Bacterial small subunit ribosomal RNA", at positions 338 to 795 of the family's 1533-position model. Lineage: Bacteria; Pseudomonadati; Pseudomonadota; Gammaproteobacteria; Oceanospirillales; Halomonadaceae. The record is from RNAcentral.